Long non-coding RNA from Homo sapiens (human), 280 nucleotides. RefSeq lists it as uncharacterized. NCBI's taxonomy places the organism in Eukaryota, Metazoa, Chordata, Mammalia, Primates, Hominidae. The record is from RefSeq and is a predicted model, not a curated record. The transcript is spliced from 3 exons.
UGUGCAAAAUCCUGUAUCAUAAAAAAAACCAGCUGCUCACACGCACACUUCUCCAAUUCAAGCAGAAGCUGCUGAAGCACAAACAAGACACUGCACGUAGAACAAGGAAGAAUGAAAAGCAUGGGCGGGUACCAUGAACACAUGUGUGUGUCAGGACUGCAGGCAACAGGCACCCCUCCGCCAGUCUCAGGUUAACUGAUGCUGAAGUCUACUCUGGAAAUCCUUUUCUGACUGCAUUUUGAAGACCAUCUUCUACUUUCCAGGUUGGAAUUCAUAUUCU